CCUACGGGCGGCAGCAGUGAGGAAUAUUGGUCAAUGGGCGGAAGCCUGAACCAGCCAAGUCGCGUGAGGGAUUAAGGCCCUGCGGGUCGUAAACCUCUUUUGCCGGGGAGCAGAGUUCCGUACGUGUCCGGGCCUGGAGAGUCCCCGCAGAAAAAGCAUCGGCUAACCCCGUGCCAGCAGCCGCGGUAAACCGGAGGAUGCGAGGGUUAUCGGGAUUUAUUGGGUUUAAAGGGUGCGUAGGCGGGCAUUUAAGCCGGCGGUCAAAUGCCGGGGCUCACCCCCGGCCUGCCGUCGGUACUGGGGGACUUGAGUGGGCGAGAAGUAGGCGGAAUGCGUGGUGUAGCGGUGAAAUGCAUAGAUAUCACGCAGAACCCCGAUUGCGAAGGCAGCAUACCGGGGCCCUACUGACGCUGAGGCACGAAAGUGCGGGUAUCGAACAGGAUUAGAUACCCCUGUAGUC
RNAcentral lists this ribosomal RNA (460 nucleotides) under uncultured bacterium. Its description in RNAcentral is "partial 16S ribosomal RNA". It matches the Rfam family "Bacterial small subunit ribosomal RNA", at positions 338 to 795 of the family's 1533-position model. The record is from RNAcentral.